This is a long non-coding RNA of Drosophila ananassae, 1797 nucleotides long. RefSeq lists it as uncharacterized. The record is from RefSeq and is a predicted model, not a curated record. Lineage: Eukaryota; Metazoa; Arthropoda; Insecta; Diptera; Drosophilidae. The transcript has 4 exons.
CAGAUACGGUAGCUGGCAAUUCGAUUAUUCCAACUGCUGGAAGGGAACCAAUCAUCUUUGGAUGCUAACUUGUUGGCAAGUAGGUCAGAACAAGUGGGAAUUGGCCGUAAAAUCCAUAUAUACUCUUAAGCACUUGGCCGGCACAGCCCUCUGGGUAAUAAUCAUGGAUAUGUGUGACACUCGAAAAGGGAAUGUAGGUCCUCACUGUGCUAUUUUUGAUCCGAUAUAGCAAAUAAAAUAUUUACCAGAAGAAAAAGGUGGAGAUAGAUUCCCCAUCAGAUUCCCCAUCAGUCAUUUACCAAAAAACCAAAAGUUCAUAUGAAUGCAAUCCAGUAUCCAAAAAAUAUUUUGUAAAAUGAAACAACGCAGGUAUUUUCCAUUUGAAAAUGAAAAAUCAUUUAGGAGGAUGUCUUUUUCUCAAACCUGAAAUCAAAAUCCAAUGAAGUACUAUCUGCCAGAUUCGACAACUAUUCGAAUGCUGCAAAUUUUGAAUUAAAUCAUACGUCAGAAUAAAUCUCACAUUUAUAUCUGAUCCGUACGAGUACCACCACCUCCGGGCCGGCGCCCUUUGUUUUUGCUGCAAUUGCUGCAUGUUGACUUUGAAAAUAUAUCGUAUUUACAUUUGAUUUAACAGUCAAACAAAUUUCUAGAAUUGCGCAAAUAUUUACAUACACAAUCUGAAAAUCUGCACAGCACAGCAAACACGUGUGCCCUGUUGUGGAUUAAAAAUAUAUACAUACAUAUGUGUUGUACUCUUGCCAUGCUUGCUGUGCACAUAUGAAAUUUAAAUUUAAAACACAGCAGCCCGCGCACGCCCCACAUGGCGUAUGAUUGAUUUGGCUCGUCUCCCUCUAAGGGAGGACUUCCAGCUUAAAACUCCAAGGAGCAAAUACGGACGUGGAGGCAGCAAUAAAAAGACGCUGCACUUUUCGAGGCACAGCAGGCGAGAUAACUUGCCGCAUAAUGCGUCACAAAGCCGACGCAGGAGUCCAAAGCUGUUAUCGCUCUGUCCACCUACACAAGCGAAUGCUAGCGGAGUGUUAACAGGUCAAAGGAGACUAAAACGGAGUGGUAAUGGGAAGUGGAAUUGAAAAGGACGGCAUCCAAUGUGCGUAGAGGCCGACGAGACCAACGAUAACCCCUUGACCCAUGGAUCUACCCACACUUUCGAAUGUCCCCCGUAUUUUUCCGAAUUUUCCCCCGUACUUUUCGGACUUGAAAAAGGCGGAACUUUUACACAUAUUGAUGAGUGUGCUCAAAAGCUGACAUUGCAUCGAAAUACUACGUGAAUGCAUUGGGGAUUUAAUCGUGAAAAUGCAGAUCAAAUGGCUUGCCACAUUACCAUUCCCGAGCGACAGCCAAUUCACUUAUGCAUUCCCAGUUGGGAAUAUCUUGGCUCUUAUUUGCAAUUGGAAUAUUGAGCGGCUGGGAAAUGUCAGCGGAGCGGAUUCAUUUAUUAAUCCUGGACUGAGCUGAACUGAGACGCAUAUGCAAUCGAUACAGCUGCCCGGGAAUCGACCGAAUCGUAGGCAGAUUAUACAGCCCCGACCCUGCAACAAACAUCAAGCUGUGCGGCUUAUCGUGAGUGAGAUGUUUGUUCGAAAUGUCUUUGGGGACUCCCACCCAUGUGAAUUGUCAGAUAGACUCAUUCCAGAGCAAUCUAUGCAACGGAGGCAUCUCAUUUGCAUACAUACCCACAGUGGGGGUUACGGUUUAAAGAGAAGCCUGCAUUCAAGAUGGCCCAAAAUUCAAAUUGAGUGAGAAUAAUUCCAUAAAAUCUUGGCAACUAAGCAUAGA